This is a long non-coding RNA of Cololabis saira (Pacific saury), 272 nucleotides long. RefSeq lists it as uncharacterized. The record is from RefSeq and is a predicted model, not a curated record. The transcript has 3 exons. NCBI's taxonomy places the organism in Eukaryota, Metazoa, Chordata, Actinopteri, Beloniformes, Belonidae.
GAAGAAGAGGAUAAAAGGCAACACAAGAACACUGAUUCAAAAAGUGAGAACACGACUUUUCAUCGGAGCAAACGCAGAUUUCAAGAUGAGGUGUUUCCUUCUACUGGCGAUGUUGGUGGGGUGUGCUGCAGCUCUUGAAGAUCUGUCAGGAAAGAUGUUCACCUUCCCGGCGGAAACAAACUCCGCUCAUGUGAAGUUGAUCACCAUGAAACAUUAUUUCGGUGCUGUAACUGUAUGUCACAGGUCCGUAUGAAAGCAGAACCCUCUAUUAG